GCCCUCGUAGCUCAGUGGAGAGAGCACUUGCUUGCGGAGCAAGGGGUCGCGUGUUCGAAUCACGCCGAGGGCGCCA
This 76-nucleotide transfer RNA is filed under the name Chloroflexota bacterium. Its description in RNAcentral is "Chloroflexi bacterium (hydrothermal vent metagenome) tRNA-Arg". It matches the Rfam family "tRNA". From Rfam's summary of the family: Transfer RNA (tRNA) molecules are approximately 80 nucleotides in length. Their secondary structure includes four short double-helical elements and three loops (D, anti-codon, and T loops). Lineage: Bacteria; Bacillati; Chloroflexota. The record is from RNAcentral.